GUGUGACUGGGAAGGCUGGUGGUGGGGCUUGAUUCUGUCAGGGUUGGUCCUGACAGAGAAAAGUGUUGCAUCAUAAACAUCAAGAUCUGUGAUGGCUUUUUGUAACACAGAAAUUCAAGCAAUUUUAUGAAGGGGUUUUGUACCGUAGGGUACAGUACUCUAAAACGGCCAGGAGAUGUCACUUAAUACAGAUAACAAGACAUGCUGGGGUUUUGGUGUGUGUUGCGUGCACACGUGCGUGUUGACAGCUGUGGCGUGUCGAGCGGUAGGAAAAGAAAAAGAGGGCAGGAAACGAGUAUACACGUCCGUGCAGCUUCACCCGUCUGACGACGAGUAGACAGUAUGGAAAACAGAGUUGGCUUAACAGAAAGAACAGUGCAGCAUUUGUCUUUCAAGGAUGUCCAGUGUUAAACUGAGGAGUCCUGAACUGCUGUGGGCUGAUGACAUUUCUCGCCCUAGUCGGUGUGGGCGUCUCUUCAGUCAAGUGCAAUGGGUGUUUGCACUCCUUUUUUGUAUUCCAUCUAGCAAAUGCCUCUUCUGCAUUUUAUGAUUGUUCACAUGUGUAUCACCCCCCGCGUGUUUGUGUGCAUGUUUACGACAUCAACCCUGAUUGAAACACAACAACAGGAUCUCCGGUCCUGGGGUCGUUAAAGCUCCGUCACAUUAGGUGUCAACAAAAGGAAGCCCUUGCGUCUCCACCUAUAGUCUUUGUCACACAGUAUCUCCGUAAAACAACAAAACCCCCCUCUUAGUCCUUAGCCCCAAGAUAAGGGUCUUAAAUGUUUACUCAGCAUUCAGAUUUGGGGUUAGGCCUUUCUUUGCACCCAAGUAAUACUGAACACAGAAUCAUUCGUAUACAGAAUAACAGUUACAUCUUCAAUUUUUCCAACAGAAGUGGUUUGACUUAUAAAAGCAGCUGUUUGGUUUUCUGCUUUUCUGUCAUGGUUACCGUCACCAUCUUAGGUCCUAAAGAAUGAGGCAGUGUUUUCAAGAUGUUUAUAAGGCUCUGUUGGAUGAGGGCUCUGCUGUCUGCCACACUGAUGACAAGACUUGCUGGGUUGUAACAGGUCUACUUUACUUCAGUGUACAAUACAUGGUUAAUGUUGACUCCAUCCACCCCCAGUAUUUCAGAAUUUUUGUAUGAUGCAUGAUGUUGCACAGGUUGACUCUGCUAUUUAAUUGUUCCAUGAACCAAUGUUGCUGACUUGCCUGUUAGUUAGCCAGCAUAUUUGACCUCUCAACCUUUCCAUAUUGGACUUUCAUUGGAAAAUGGCACUGACUUAAAUUAUAUAUGUGAUAUCCUAUGUGAAGGCCAUGGGGUUAAUAUUGGAGUCCUGUCACAGUUCUUGUGACAGGUUUCCUGCUGACUGGCUUUACUGACACAAUAUCCUGUAGGGAGAGUCACUGCUCCCAUACUGAGUAUUGGUAGAUCUGGCGCUUCAGAAUACUUGCGUUAAUUGUCUGCUUUUCUGUCAUGGUUUCUGUCACCAUCUUGGGUCCUAAAGAACGAGGCAGAGUUCACAAGAUGUUUAUAAGACUCUGUUGGAUGAGGCCUAUGCUGAGGCCUUGCUGGGUUUUAGUAGAGCCGUUCUUCAACCUUGUAUAUUGAAGUACACUGAAACAUUCUGAAAAAAGACAAAGAAGAAGUCGGCGGAACAGAGUUUAGAGUCCCAACAACAGAGGUGGAGGCGAGAAAAUGUGUCCUGUUUGGCGGCCUUUCAUCGGGUAUUAGCGACAAAAGAAAGUCGGCGGAGUGGAAAACUGUCACCAUU
This is a long non-coding RNA of Hypomesus transpacificus, 1772 nucleotides long. RefSeq lists it as uncharacterized. The transcript is spliced from 5 exons. The record is from RefSeq and is a predicted model, not a curated record. Lineage: Eukaryota; Metazoa; Chordata; Actinopteri; Osmeriformes; Osmeridae.